AAUAUUAUAGUUAUCAUUUACAUUAAAAAUAAAUUAUCUAUUUUUAGAAAAUUAUUGAUCAAAUUAACUAAAUAGCAAUAACAAUCAAAUUAAGAAAAAAAAUUGAGCUUAUUUAAAAAAAAAUCCAUAAAAAAAAAGCUGAAUUACUAUGAAAACAUUUUGUUUCUACAUUAUUUCCGGAUAAAUUUAUAGGCGGCCUUCCAAAAAAGUCAAAUACUAAAUCCAAACCAAUUUCUACCUCCACCAAUGCUUUGCCACCUCUGGCCUUACGUCA
RNAcentral lists this long non-coding RNA (274 nucleotides) under Gossypium raimondii (Peruvian cotton). RNAcentral describes it as "long non-coding RNA (GRAI_LNC006871)". Lineage: Eukaryota; Viridiplantae; Streptophyta; Magnoliopsida; Malvales; Malvaceae. The record is from RNAcentral.